RNAcentral lists this ribosomal RNA (377 nucleotides) under Rhizobium sullae. RNAcentral's name for it is "bacterial SSU rRNA". It matches the Rfam family "Bacterial small subunit ribosomal RNA", at positions 357 to 751 of the family's 1533-position model. The record is from RNAcentral. Lineage: Bacteria; Pseudomonadati; Pseudomonadota; Alphaproteobacteria; Hyphomicrobiales; Rhizobiaceae.
GGGAAUAUUGGACAAUGGGCGCAAGCCUGAUCCAGCCAUGCCGCGUGAGUGAUGAAGGCCCUAGGGUUGUAAAGCUCUUUCACCGGAGAAGAUAAUGACGGUAUCCGGAGAAGAAGCCCCGGCUAACUUCGUGCCAGCAGCCGCGGUAAUACGAAGGGGGCUAGCGUUGUUCGGAUUUACUGGGCGUAAAGCGCACGUAGGCGGACAUUUAAGUCAGGGGUGAAAUCCCAGAGCUCAACUCUGGAACUGCCUUUGAUACUGGGUGUCUGGAGUAUGGAAGAGGUGAGUGGAAUUCCGAGUGUAGAGGUGAAAUUCGUAGAUAUUCGGAGGAACACCAGUGGCGAAGGCGGCUCACUGGUCCAUUACUGACGCUGAGG